GAGCCACUGACACACUGGCUGCACAAUGAUGAUGUCACUGAUUCUACUGCUGGUCACCCUGGGGCUACUUGUUCAGGAUUCAUCAGGAGAAAUCCUCUUGACUCAGUCUCCUGGAUCUCAGUCUGUUGUUAAAGGACAGACUGUCUUUAUCAGAUGUAAAUCCAGUACACAAAUAGGUGAUGACAUUGACUGGUACCUUCAGAAACAUGGAGAAGCUCCUAAACUGCUGAUUGCGGAUACUACAGCCCGUCAGUCUGGAGUUUCAGAUCGUUUUAGUGCAACAGCGCAUCAGACUGACUUUACUUUGACCAUCAGUGGAGUUCAGACUGUAGAUGCAGGAGUUUACUACUGUCAGCAGCAUAACAGCCGCCCGUUCACACGGUGAUACAACGUCGUACAAAAACCUCAACAGCUGCACAGAAACUAAACGAGAACAACAUAUGACUAACAUAGUUACAUGCAAUUCUAACAUAAUACACAGACAGAACUAACUUUUUUAAAACAUAUUUUAUUUGUAUUCGCCAUUUUCUGAGGCAAACUUUAAAUUGAGUCAACCACAGUCAGAGUUCUAUCAACAGUCAGGCUCUAUUAAUACAGAUGGUCAUACAUUAGUAUUUUUCCCUUUAUAAUUUUUUUCUCAGGGUUUUUGUGAGAUUAUUCUUUUGAUCUAUCAUCUGAU
Non-coding RNA from Perca fluviatilis (European perch), 679 nucleotides. Lineage: Eukaryota; Metazoa; Chordata; Actinopteri; Perciformes; Percidae. The record is from the annotation of a RefSeq genome assembly.